RNAcentral lists this long non-coding RNA (4641 nucleotides) under Homo sapiens (human). Its description in RNAcentral is "non-protein coding lnc-CORO2B-1:2". Lineage: Eukaryota; Metazoa; Chordata; Mammalia; Primates; Hominidae. The record is from RNAcentral.
UUGUACCUCUAAGUAAUGAUCUAUUUGUAAAAAAUUUUCUACAGCGCCUCUUGAAUUAGAGAUCAAUUUAAUGCAUUCUGAGAAAUUAGUAAAUUUUUAACGUAUUUCUAGUUGAAAUAUUGGGUUCUUUCAGGCAAGUAUAUGUAUACCCUAAACUUUCUUUGGAAGUUCUGGAUCCUAGCAACUAUAAUAUAAAAACUUUGAAUUCAUUUGUACAUGACGAAAUGAGAUAGCCACGAUAGGUGUUAGAGGACUUUUACCCAGUGGAGGAACAUGUUUUACUCUGCUGCAUUGGUCUUUUUUUUUUUUUUUUCCUUUCUUUUUGAGACAGGGUCUCACUGCCACCCAGGCUGGAGUGCAGUGAUGCGAUCAUGGCUCACUGCAGCCUUGACCUCUUGGGCUCAAGCAGUCCUCCUGCCUCAGCCUCCCAAGUAACUGGGGCCACAGGCAUGCACCACCACACCUGGCUAAUUUUUAAAUUUUUAUAGAGAUGAGGUCUCACCAUGUUGGCCAGGCUAGUCUCAAGCUCCUGGGCUCAAGCGAUCCUCCUGCCUGGGCCUUCCAAAGUGCUGGGAUUACAGAUAUGAGCCGUGGUGCCCAGCCUUGCAUUGGUCUUAUAACUCAAUAAUGUACGUGAAAUUAUUGUAUAUGCCUUCUUGUAUAUGAGAAUUACCACUUCUACAUAUAUAUUGGAGGGCAAGUCAAGUAAGUGUGACAAACAUUUUUCACUAGGCUAGGCCAACUCAUGUCUGUGUUCAUGUUGAGAAGUAAUUCUAUAGAUAAGGCAGAAGAGCAGACAAACUCAGGAUACAAGUGUGCAAAGAUGUAUAACAGACAUGUUGAUCAUUGUAUCAUAGCAUUUUUAUAAUAGCGAAAGAAAGAAAAGAAAGGGGAAGAGGGAAAAUGAAAAAGAAAAAAACAGAAAAGAUUCAUAUGCCCAGGAAAAAAGUCUGGGAGAGUAUGUACCAAAAAAUGUUUAAAAACUUUGAUUACAAUGGUUUUGCAUGGGUGAUGAUGUCAUAGUGGUUUUUGAUUUUGAGGUCUUUUAUUUGUCUAUAUUUAAAAAGUUUUCCAUUGAUAAUUUUUGCAAUGAAACAGGUAUUUUAAUGGAAAUUAUAGGUGUAGAUGAUAUGUGGAAUGUUUAUGCUAGUCAGAAUUUUUGGUGAAGAUAACAGAAAUUUACCUUGACCAACACAAGAAAAAGGCAAUUUUUAUAAGUCUGUCACAGAACCAAAGAACAAGGUCCAGGAAAGAAGAAGCCAGGGAAGCUGGCAAUUUGGAGCACAGCCAAGAUGGUCCCUGCCCUAGGUAAAGUCUUCAGAGGACCUCACACCUCAGAAGUCAUCUCUGCUAUGGGCUGUGAAUCCCACCAUACCUACAAUGAUCUCAGCAUCCUGCCUUUUUGUGUCACUCCCUCGAGGUUCAAAGCCCUUGGCAAGAACAUUUGCAGAUGCCCCAGCUGUCAGAGAGAAAAGAUUAUCUUCCUCCUUUAGCUUCCACAGUGGGAUGUGUGACCCUGCCUCCUGCCUAUUUUAGGACUCUGCCUAAACUAAGUGUUCUGGUGCUAGGUGACCAAAACCAAAAAUCCACGAACAUGUUCUAACAAAAUAAUGCUGUGAAGGUUUCCUGAUGAUCCAUGUUACUCCCAUAGUAUCUCCCCUCUUCCUCCCUACUACUUACCAGCAAGAGACCGUACCACCUAUUUAGGAUCAAUGUAAAGCAGAGCUAAUAUCUGAAAUCCCAGUUUCUUUUCAAAUGCUUCCCUUUCCAAAUUUGAAGCCAGAAGAAACAAUGUAUCACUGCUGAUGUCAAUAAGACUUCCUUGGCUGGGCACCGUGGCUCACACCUGUAAUCCCAGCACUUUUUGAGACCGAGGUGGGCAGAUCAGUUGAGGUCAGGAGUUCAAGACCAGCCUGGCCAACAUGGUGAAACCCCAACUCUACUAAAAAUACAAAAGUUAGCUCAGUGUGGGGGCACACGCCUGUAAUCCCAUCUACUUGGGAGGCUGAGGCAGGAGGAUCGCUUGAACCUGGGAAGUGGAGGUUGCAACUAGCCAAGAUGGUGCCACUGCACUCCAGCCUGGGUGACAGAGUUAGACUCCGUCUCAAAAAAAAAAAAAAAAAAAAAAAAAAAAAAAAAAAAAAAAAAAGACUCUACCGCAGCAAAACUGGUGAUAAUCUUAAAAUUUGGAAAGGAAAUGUCCCUAGUAAAGAUAUUUGAUUUAAAUUACAAGGAAUUUAGUUCUAAGGGAUAAUCGACAUAUUUCAUAAAUAAAUGCAGAUAUCUCUAGAUAUCAAAUGAUAAAAGAUCUUGAGCAGUGAUGGAUUACUGCUAAUGGGUUUCUGUCUGCUACUCUGAGCACAGUUCAGGCUCAAGAACUGACAUGAAGGGUUUGAGAAUUUAGUCAAAAUCUGGAAGUAGGCAGGUGGUCACAGGCUAACUAAGAGUUCAUAACCGGAUGCAGUCGUUGAAGGACAAUUGUGAAGAAAAAAUGCUGAUGGUGAAACGAAUGCAAAAACCACAAACACAUUGAAGAGGCCUAUGUUCCUGGGAACAAAGAGGAAGGUUAUCAAUGAUGUGCUUGUAGAAAACAUAUUAAUACUGGAAUAUUGUCUUCUUUCCCAUCAUUUCAGGUCAGUUAGCUUAGAUUACUAUUCAGCUAGAAAAAACAAAUGAUACCCUUGCAAGGACUCUGAACAAUAUUGGAAUUCAGCUGUUUUGUUUCUAAUAAAACAUGGUUUAACUGUUACAUGAAUAGAAGUUCCUUAUAAGUGCCAAUUACUUCUUUCCAGAGAAGCAGUGCUAAAGAUUCUGUUCAUUGGUACACUAAGUGUUCUUCAUGACCCAGUGUUUUAUUUCCUAUAAGUUAGCUUUUUUUCUCAGAUGAUUUAAUGAAAAUUAUGGCAGUCUGCUCAUUGUUCAGCAAAAUCCAUUUCCUCUUCUCCUUGAACACAAAGCUUGACUAUGUUUCCUAGAUGGCCCUUGCAGUUAGUUGGGGCCAUGUGACUGGGUUCUAGCUUGUUGAUUAUAAGUGGAAGUGAUGCUGCCACUUAAAGGCUUGAAAGUGCCACUGCAUACUGACUGAGAUGCAGUGGAAGCCCUGUGUUUAUGAGGUGGACCCCCUCUCAGGCUGAAAUGUCUCUUAAGAGUCAUUUCAGCAACCUAUUUACUUGCCCACCAAGAGAGAAAUUGUGACUAAGAAACUUUUAUGGGGCUGUGCCAUUAUAUGCUUGUAUCCAUUUGUUACUGUAGCCUAUGCUAGUAACUAACACAAUAAUAAAGGUUUUUUUCAGUCUUAGUUUUCUAUUCAUUUGUAGACCAAUUGUAAAUGUGAAUAUUGUAUUUCCAUUGUAUCUUGGCUUACAUGUUCAAAGCACCAUAAAACAGAUAAAAGGAUUAUAUUAACAAGUACUUAAUGUAGAAAAGAUCAGUGCAAGGGAGUCUAUGGAAUAACAUGCAAAUAUGUCUCUUUCCCCCAAACUUAGUGCUUGGCUCAUAGUAAGUAUAAAAUAAAUGCCUGUUGUUUCAUCAAUAAGUAGUCCUCCCCUCUCAAGCUGCAGACUGACAUUUUAAUUGCUCAUUGGACAUUUCCAAACAGGUAUCUUACAGGAACAAACCACAUGACAUUUCCAAAACGAAUCUCUUCCUUGCCAGCCUCUGCCUACUCUGCCUCCACCAAACUACCUUUAUCCUUCUGGCUCUCCUGUUUUGAUUAAUGGUACCCUUGGAAUUGUCCUCUGUUGACUCCCAUAACCAAAUGGUUAACUCGUCCUCUAAAUUUCCAACUACCUUUCCUCCUAUCAGCCCCACUUUUUCACCACUCUAUCCAAGCAAGCUCGCCCCACCCUUUCUCAUGUCUAAAUUGGCACCGUGUGCUAAGAGUUCCCAGGCUUUGGGUUUUCUCACCAAUAACAUUUAAAAAAAGGGUUUAGGACCAACAUAGAAUUCCCAACUUUUAAUUUUGCCAGAUAAAGACAUUCUUUAAAAAACUUAUCUUUUAUUGUUCUAUAGACUAUUUUUAAAAUGGCAAUGUAGGGAGGACUCAGCUUUAGAAUAUAGGACACUCCUCUACAUUGAAUUUAAUUUUAUGAGAAUUCACUACCUUGUUCAAGAUUGAGUAGUUGGAAACUCUUGUCUAGAUCAGCACUGGCCCUGAGGUCUUGAUGUGGUUUUGUGGCCAGAUGAAUGUUUCUGAGUUCCAGUUCCAGUGCUCCUCCGGUCAACAACAGCCUCUCUGGUUCCCUGUGGCCUGCUUUCCCCCACCUGGCAUUAAAACUCCCCAAAGAAGGCCUCAUACUACCUUCCAGUGUUAUCUCUAAUUUCCAGGCAAAUUAGACCUUCUGUUAUUCCUUUUUCUUUUCUAUCUUUGACUAUGCAGUUCUUGCACCUGUACAGUCUAUCCUUUUUUCCCCACCACGCAAAAUUCUACCCAAAAUUUAAGACCACAUUUGAUAUCAUUGCCUCCUUUGAAACCUUUGAUGAUCCAUUUUACCCACACAAACAAGAGCUUUCCUCUCCUUGAACUUGCAUAACAUGGUAAAGUAUAGCACGUGGCUGCUUUCUUCCACAUGCUGUGCUUAUUUACCUCUCCCACAAAAUUACAAUAAAUCCUUAAAGAUAAGAAAAAUGUUUGAUUCAUUU